CCGCCCGUGUCACCGGGUGAAUCUACGGGCCUGAAUAAAGAGCGGCCCUGACAAUGAAACGAAGCACCGCAAGGUGCGGGGCAUCAAUCGCGAGAGGCGUGCCCUUCUGGGAGCCACAACCCGGAUGAGUGC
This 132-nucleotide non-coding RNA is filed under the name Paraburkholderia sp. BL10I2N1. The record is from RNAcentral. Lineage: Bacteria; Pseudomonadati; Pseudomonadota; Betaproteobacteria; Burkholderiales; Burkholderiaceae.